GCCAUCUUGGCCUUCACAGAAGAUAACCCUAUGGGGUGGCUCAGUUUGAACCAGGAAACCAUGCAUGAGUAACAAACUUCGCAAGUCUCAUGCUGGUGAUAGGAAGAGAAUAUCUGCAAGGCUCACCUUUCAGAAGACGGAAAAAAAGAAACAAAAAAAUUAUUUUUGUGAAUAAAGUCUGAGCAACUGGGGAGAAACUCAAGUGACAUGAAUCUCUACUCCAUUCUACAUGGAAUAUUUCUGAUCUAAUUCUAAUAGCCCCUACAUUUCAAAAGAUGGAUACAAACACCAGAUGGAUGUUACAAGAAAAUUGGAUUGUUCUGCAGUGAAUGAUAUAUGGAAAGGCCUUUUCCCAACCAAGCAGUAGGCAAAAUUGUAACAGUAAUAUGUGUUGGAAAUAAAAUGGCUCAGGGAUCAGAGGUGACACUGACUCUUGUAAAGUGUGAAAUUGUUCCUUCUGUUGGGCAGAAUGUGGAUUAAACAAAGAAAGGAACAUGAACAGUUUGAUGUUUAUUAAUUAUAUUAUCUGCCUCAAUUCUCUAUCUGUAAUAUAGCAAUAAGAUUCUG
Molecule: long non-coding RNA, 567 nt
Organism: Heterocephalus glaber (naked mole-rat)
Lineage: Eukaryota; Metazoa; Chordata; Mammalia; Rodentia; Bathyergidae
Source: Ensembl